This is a long non-coding RNA of Gasterosteus aculeatus aculeatus (three-spined stickleback), 38237 nucleotides long. Lineage: Eukaryota; Metazoa; Chordata; Actinopteri; Perciformes; Gasterosteidae. The record is from Ensembl.
UACGUCUGAAUAAGCGCCAAGGUCAUUUUAGCAUAAACGUUACGAGGGCAAUUUCAAUAUUAUUAACCAAAGCCUUAUUUAUUAUGUGGAAAACUGCUCCGGGGCCUCAGACCUAUGGGGACCACAAAGAAACGGGUUCUCUUUUUAAUGAAUUUCAUGAGGACUUUGCAGCAGCUAACCAUGUGAUUAGUGUAGAAGAAGCCUUCGUAGAAUGUAGAUCAUUACGGAGCAUAUUCACAGUCACCUGGUGCUAAACGGACCUUAAAAAAUAACAGUAAUUACAGGUGAUCAAACACACGCUAGACAGCAGAUCGGAUGUGAGUUUGGUUACCAUAUCAGCAUACCGUUUCAUUUUUUAAAGGGACACUCGUAAGCGACACUCGCUCCACACUGUAGCGUUCAAGGCAAGGCCACACCAAGUUGUUCAUCCGUCAUCUCAGAAACAACAUACGUGUCCGUUGAAACAAGCCCGCUGGCAGCCGUUUGAAAGGUGCUGCACUAUCCAGAUAAUCGCAGAAACUGGUAUGAAUUAAGGUUUCAUUCAUACAAAAAUAUGUGGUGAUUCAGUCACAACAUGAUUAAAAAAAAAAAAGAAACCCCAGAACACUCUUAACAUUAAAAAUAUAUUCAUCUUUAUUCGUGUGGAAUCUACACAUGAAUGUGUCUGCAACUAUGGUGAUAAUUCAAAAUAAAUAUAUAAUCAAACAAGCGCUGAAAGAAGAAGAUUAUAAUGCAAAAAAUGUCCCGUUCCAUUAUUUACUAGUAGAGAUGUUUUUUUAACUGUUAUUACAGCUCUGUUAAAAGUUUUAUGAACAAACCGGUAUGUUCAAUUGUAUAUUCCUUUGAACUUGAACUUGUUUUUCUUACAUUAUCAUCACCAGAGUCUUGAAUACAUUCGUUAACAAAUCAUGCCUUUGAAGAAUAGCUUCUCAGUUUAUGUAACUUGCCAAAUAAAAGCAGAUUUUUAUAGCAGUGGGGACCUGUGCUGUUGAUCGGCGACCAGUGGGCCGGAGGGAGGGGAUUAACUUUGGAGAGCAGUCAUUCAAGGAUUUGCACAGGGAUAUCUCUAUUUCCACUGCUAUGCCCUCAGUGAAGUGUCAAAGGGAAGUUGUUGUGCAUUCUUGGGCAUAUUUGGGCAUAUUUGGGCUGUAUGCGUGGCCAAGCAGGGCACAUUCUCUCACGGUGUUGGUUUGUCCUCGUUUCAUUUUGUAUUCCCUUGCUUCUCGUGCGUGUGUGUGUGUGUGUGGCUUGGCUUCACUCCCUUGCGAUUGUCGGUCCUUGUCCCUAAAUGUUCCCACCUGUGUCCGAUCACCUGGCCCUUCUCGGCGUAUUCAAGCCAUGUUAGCCCGCUAUCCUGUGAGAUCCUUCAUGUACCCAUGAGUCCCUUCCUAUCAUUUAUACCCCGGCAUUUUCUUUACUCUUUCAUACACAGUCACUCUGCCACAGCGGAGCUGCACCUCAAAUCAGUGAUUCUGUCCACACAGCGUCCAAGGACAGAUCUUUUUUUCUUUUGACCGGUAUAGACUCUCCCUAGAGUUCUCAAACGGCAGCUCAAUGCCAAUUGAUGUUCAGGGAUUGACAGCAUUUUGACGGACAUACUUAAUGAACAGGUUCAUUUCAGUCCAGGUUUAAACUCAUCUGGGUUUCAGUGCGGUCAUAAACUGCUAAAACAAAACAUUCGGUGCAAUGAGGCGCUGCUUAUGGCCAUCCUUGACAGUUUUCUGCCGCCAUAAAGUGCUGCUUCCAAAUUGAAAAGCAGAAGAUGAUGUUGUCGCGAUGGCCGAGCACCGCAAGCCCUUUUCUGAAUUGACAAUUACUUAAUGUUUUCUCCAAGGCAACCGGAUGACUUCACAGAAUGACAGAAUGAGGGGUGUUAUUUGGAUUUAUACCCCACUAAAGCUAAUGGGGGGGGGCUGGAGUAUCUUGCAGUUAGGGUGGGAGGUGCGGCGGGUGUAUUAACACAACAUGCAGCCGAGCAAUGACUCCAACAAACAGAUUAAGCCCCUCCCCUUGUUAUAAAACCAUUUGACUUGGUUCUUCCUCCCUGUUGGGACGUGUGUACGUAUGAUAACCGUCACCCGCAUCACCAUCACUUGUAGUUCGUUAAUGGCGUGCUAAUGCUCUCUGAAUGUCCACUAAACGCAGCAAUUUUUUUUGUGGCCCGUAGCGCUCCAUCACGGCGCCGCCUGCUGCUCGCUGAACACCAUAAUGAGCUAAUCAGAGAGCCGAUGCACAGUGACCAGGAACAUGAAGUGGGAACAAAGGAAUCCCGCCGGAGCGGCCUACGUGUCUCGCGUCUCGGAGGACGCCAACAGGUGGACGGGACUUCCAUCGCGAACCGCUCAUGGAGCCGCAGUCUCCGCCAUCAGCCUCAGCUUUUUGAAAAAUAUGAUGAAACUCGUCCCUGGAGGUGCACAAGGGGCACCGUCACCUAUACGACUCCCGGGCAAAAGCUUUCACUCAUUUCCCGUGCUUUGUCUGAGAGCUCACGGCAUUGAGGGCCACCAAAGUUUACCAGCGCGCCACAGCACCCAAACCUCGCGCCUCCAAACUACACUUAUUUCCUCGCUGCCUUUUGGCCUCGGAGUUUAUGAGGCUUGUGUUCAAGUCAUAGAUCAGUAGAUUGAUACCGUAGAAAAACCGCUUUUCUCCACAGCGUGGUCUGGUCCCCAGGGAGACUUUUUCCCUGAUCUCGGCCUGUGUCAUUGCCACCAAAUGAAAGCCCCUUAGAGCCAAUGGAGCCGUGCGGCUGUCAAAACUCUCCCCCUGUGCAGCGCACAAUCUUCUCCAGCCACUGCACUGCCAUAUGUUAAGGCAAAAAACACUGCUGAGCUUGGCAUGAUUUGAGCCCGAGGGAGGGGGGGCGGCAGUGGAGAAGGCGUCCUGUUGUCACCAACAUAUGGCUCCUGUGGCUUUGUCUGAUGUUUUCCAUUGUUAUGGAGUUUCACUGUACAACACUUUGCUCCAAACGAUGCGGCAUUGGAUGGUUUUGAGGCGCAGGGGCCUCUUUAGUAAAAGUGAAACUGAUUAAAAAGGACCUGAUGAUCCUUUCCAGCAUGAUCCCUUUAUCUCCACUGUGGUUGAAGUAAGUCUCAUGUGAUCGCUACGGAGUUGUGUGUGGUUUUGGACUUGAAACAGACACUAUGAAUCAAAGGAUUAGCAUUUAACUAUAGCGCUACAUAUCUCGCCAUUUUGAGCGAAGCAACAAUAGGACAUCGAAAGCAGCAAUAGUCUGCAAACACUCGCUUGUUUCAGCUCCAAGCUGCACCAUGCGGAUGAUUGUUAGCAGGCUAGCGGUCUACUCUCUUUGCAUUCCUGUGUGUGCCUGCUCAUUUUGCAGCGAGGAGUGUUGCUGGGUAAUGCAAUCCUAGCUGGCCACUCCUAUUAAUCACUUCCUCCCAAGGAAGAGGGUUCAUUAGGAAGCGAUUCUCUUAAUGGAGACCGCAAUGGCCCAUUGUAAGUGGUGCAGACUCAGGGCAAGGAGCUAAAUCCGUCUGCCCGGCGUCAGGUCUAAACAGCGGGGUAGGGGCCACUCUCCGGGGCCCCGCUAAAUGACGUUAUCUAAGGGUGCAGGGACCACUCGUAAAUAAACCCCGGCGGUGGUCUUCUCUGCACAAAAACGCUCGGCGGGUAAAAGGCAGACCGUGUGCUGCGAUCCCCGCUGAGCCGCGAGGAUUAGAUCACUUACAGAAGGGAAGGAUAUUUAACACAAGAAAUAUGAGAAAUUAAUCUCGUCUGGUAAUGCAGGUGUCUUAGCGACAAAUGUCGACAGAGUAGCUGAGCGGGGCAAGUAAUUAUACCCAAAUGAACUUGUCAGAGCCCGUAUCACUUGAGUUAGUAUCCGCUUUUCACGCUCGUCGGCGGGAAUAUGACGUCUCCCGGUGCAGAGACAAGCGACUUCACAGAGUGAAGUCGUGGCGUGGUUCCACGUUCCACUGCGGCUGCAUGACAUUUUACGUCGUGCCACUCGACACCACUUCAAAUAACAUUUAUGUGGAAGGUGAGAAAGAAGCGUUUUCAGCUUAGCGGGGUUGAGCGGAGCGCAGUUAGAGUUAGGAUCCAUCUCCUUGCAAAGUAAAUUCCUCGUCUGCCUGUCUUCUCUCACAUAGAAAGCGUUUUUUUCAUCCUUCCCGUUAAAGUAGUGCAGUGUUAAAAUGUUAAAAACAUGCCUUUUCAGAACGGGCCGAGUGGUUGUGGUUGUGGUGCUGAUUUCAGCUUUACUAGAUGCAGCACUUUUCCUGUGCUGCAUAAUUGUUAUAUUUAAAGGUUUUAUUCCAUAAAGAAAGCUUUGAAGAAUUGUUUGGAGAAAUGUGUGCUUAGUUUAUCAAAAAAAGGUUGGUUUAGAAAUGGACAUUGCCUCCAGAAACUGCUGAUUUCACUCUACUUUUAAUGGUGUCAAUUUCCCAAAUGGAAAACCGUAAUGUGAAGGACUCAUUUCCCAGUAGUAGUCGAAAUAGUUAUGUGCUAGUUUGUUUUAAUUGUGCACCAUAACGUAGUGGCAGGCAAGUUAUUGUAUGUGUGACCAUACAACCAUCCCACAAACAUUCUCCCUGAGAUCAAAAGCUAGACAACAUUAAUGCUAAAUAAUAAUAAAACCUGUGAAAAUUGUUAGGGAUUUAAGCCAGAAGUGCAAUACAAUUUCAAUCAAACACAAUUCAUAGUCAUUUAAAUCAUAUAAACACUGUACACAUUAACAUUCUGUCACAAUGUGAUGUUAAAACCUGGGGACGGAUGCAAAUUGCCGUCCUUUAUGGAUUUCUCCCAAUUUUAUCCCCAAAGAGUUUUUUUUGGGAGUUUUUUCUCCUGUCAGGUAGUAAAUGAACAACUUAAUGCAAGGCAGCAGACUGAGGCAAAUGUCUUGAGAAUUGGACCACAUGAACUGUCUUAGAUCUUAUGAUGAAGUGUGAUGAACGGUGAUCAUUAAUGAUGGGUUGUAAUUAAAGUGUACUAGUUAUAAGAUGAAGACUUAAACGAUGUAUGCUUUGUUAAAUUCACUCAUUGGGGCAUAAAGCCAACUGUAUCUACAUUGAAUGCAUUGGAAUGUGAGGGACAGAUAGUACAGAGAGGUUUCAGGUUACAGCUGCAGCUUCACACCUCGACGUGGAAGGGACAGUCCAGGAGAGACACUCUGAAGAAGAAGCCAAUGACAUUCAAAUGCACCAAGAAGACACACCUCAAGAGUUUUCAAAUGACCAAAGCGGGGAAAAGACUGUUAGAAUUUUCCUGCAGCUGCUUUGAUAAGUCGCUUUAGACUUGCUCAGAGGAUUCUCUAUUUCGCGAAAUAUUUUACUGUUCGCAUUGUAUUUCACUUUGUAAUUGUAUUGCUUCUAACGUUGUUUAGUUAUUAAAUACUUUUUGAUUUUUGAAUUUAAGCAAGCUGACUCUUUUGAUUCUUCGUUUCUGGCCGGGAUGAGAACAAAGGAGUGAGGCCUCCCUCGAGAGCUUUCCGAAACCCUAACAAUGUUCAAACUGUCUUUACAUUGGGAGGCAUAUUUAUUUUCUCUGAAUUAAAGAUACGGAAAUAUAUAGUUAACUGCGGUAUCUUGCACGCCACUGCUCAUUGGUCCACAAACUCACAGAAAUGAUUCAGUAGUGAGAAACACACUUAUAGCGUUUGUGUGUUUCCCUUCAGCUCAGGUGUGACUAAACUUGAUGACAAAGCUUAUGUGCGGUCUUGAAUUCCUCCUCAGUCAAUAACAGCAAAUAUUAAUGAUGUUUUCCUUUUUAACAGGGAGUUCAGAGACUUUAGACAACAAGAAAAAAGCUCACUGAGAAGCUUCCUCUGUACUUCCAGAGUGCUAAAGGCGGGACUUCGGUGUGUCCUCUACUUUGUUCAUAACCUCAUCAGACGGAAUAAUUGUUCCAGUGCCAAGAGAAGAUUACCCAGAGGUGAAAAAUGUCCCUUCUAUUCCCGUGCUCUCCUCCUAGUCCUUGGGUUCCGUUCUGUAAAAGACCAUUGCAAUGUCCUUCUCCAACUGAUGAGGGAAGAUUAAAACAUGAACUUUUCCUUUUUGAUUGUCUCACAGUCCUCCUCUCUUGUCACAAAUAUUAAUAUUACAAAAAAAGUUACCUCAAGCAAAUAACAAAUUGGAUUAAUCCUAACAGGGCAAUUUACAGUUUGGACCGUGGACCCAAUGUGGAACCUUGAGGCACAACAACAUAAUUAUCGACCAACUUGUGAAGUUAUACACUUACGCAAAGCAGUGUUUUUUUCCUGCGAGUAAUCAUUUCAUACAUUUUUGGUAACUUGGUAACUGAAGAAAAUAAAAACAAAGAAAACAGCCCCUAAAACAACCCCCUAAUUAAAUUGAACCUUCUCAUUUUUGGGAGAAAAAAAGCAUUUUCAGUGAUUUUUUUUUCUGUUUAAUUCUAUUUGGCUUGUGAAUGCGACACGACACAACAAAGAUAAGUUUGAACCACAGUCUUACUGACGCCGUGGUCUAAUACUAGGCUUCGGUGACAACCUGCUCUUUCCCUCUCACAGCUGACAAAAACAAUCUGCACUUAUUGUGGCGGAAACCCUCGGCACAUAUCGCUUGUUUCUUGAUGUUUCUUGACUCCUCCACAACUAAGCAAAGUCAGGGCGACUGCUGCUUGCAAGCAGCAGGCGGCGAGUGGGCACAGCCGCACCGUGUGGUUGAAAUUCAUUGGCAGUAUCCAUGUGGCUGUUUGAAAAUGCAUCGAAUAAUGGGAAUUAAGGGCAAAUCAAUCUGUCCAGUUUAACAGGAUUCCUGGAAAAGAUGGGGCAGAGGACAGCGAAGUAAAAAGCACACGUUGACAAUUUUAUAAAUGCAGCACUCUGCAGUCAAUCAGUCAGGGACAAACUUUGAUGCCACUUUACUCCAGGAUAACAUGCUAGCCAAUUUGGAUGUUGCUCAAACGGUAAAUCCAGCCGCUCCUUGUUUCAGCGGCACUAACGCCUUCAAAGAGCUGCUCUAAUGCAUUCAUCCCUCUCCUCCACUGUCUCUAACCUUGAAAUGAGAGGGCUCCCCGCAAACGCACCUGAUUGAAUCCCAAUGUGCAGGAGUUUGCCAAAGCACGCACUUUGUAUCCUGGCCCCCGGGCUCCUGAUUGGACCCUCGGAGGCUCUCCCCGUUUCUCAUCCCGCAGGCUCAAUCGCCAUGGUCUGAUUGGCCAUCUUAACCCCUGUGACCUCAUCCAAAUGGACUGCACCGGGGCGGAGCGUGGGGGGCCCUCACGCCCACGCUCGUUCUCUUGUGCAAAUAGCCCCCCUCCCUUCCCUCCUCUACAACACAACGUUUCGAGGAGGAAGACUUCGGGGUGAGCCGUGAUCACAGCUCUCAGGUAGCUUUUUGAAACACAUUUGUUCCAUUCUCAAACAUCCACUUCUUCUGACGAGUGCUCAACUGGGAGAAGAGGAGGGUAAGGGGGGAACGGGGGGGGGGGGCACCUGGGGGGGAGGCAUUUUGAUUGCCUGCCACUAGAUUGUUGAUGCUCCAGGAGCUUUGUGAGCAUGAGACAGGCCAGAAUACGAAGGGUGUUCCUGCAGCCCUUCUUCCUUAAGAAGUAGCGGGCACGAAAAGAAUGAAGAGCGUUUCUCCCUCAAUAGAUCAAUCCACCAGAAUUAAGCACCACAUCUGACAAAAAGCAGGCACGAGCAUCAGAGAAGAUGACAAAAUCUUGCCGCAUAAUCAGCAAAAUCUGAACAAACUUGGGCAAACGUGGUCUUUAUUUUUAGGGAUCAUAUGAACUACAGAGCACAGUAAAAGAGGCGGGUUCAAGCGAUUCACAGCAGGGUCGAAAAAGGCUUCCUGUGUUAUUUCACAGAAGAAAAGAGAGAUUUGCAGAGAGAGAUAAACAACUUUGUUAGGAGAGGAAAUACUCUGCGGCACAAGAUGAAAACAAGUGCUCUUUGACCGCGUGGAGUGGUACACUGUGUUUAGAAAAGCUGCUGUGUUUACCUCUUUGCUAAAGCCCUUGAGCCUUGGCCUCUACAUACUGCGUGCCAGGAGAAGGGUAAACCUGUUCAGGUCAAGGUCUGAGGAUGGGGAGCAAACACACACACACACACACACACACACACACACACACACACACACACACACACACCACACACUUUCUUGUCAACUAAGAAAGAAAAAUACCAGUAUCUUUAUUGUCUCCAACAGAUGAUUGCAUGUAUUGGUCUUUUCAUCUUGCAUCAUUAGGGCUGCAAAAGGUUUCCUGGACGACAGUGCACGGAGUAAAAGCGCCUUUGUUCAUGCUGGGAGCUCGCGCUGACAAAGCUUAACCUCGAGCAGCGUUAACUUAAAUAACUAACAACGUUAGUAACAACGUUGUGACCUUUGUUUUAGUGCCUUGACGGGACUAUAUAGUUGAGCUUUUUCUUACAAAGCAAAUGUCACGAAAAAGGAAAUAACUCCACAACCCAGGGGUCCCGCGGUGGUUAAAGGGGCCAUUUGCAGUCACUCAUAAUCCAAGUAAAAACAUUUUGGCAUUCAAACCUUUAUUGGAAAUUGAUUAUCGUACAAACGGAAAAUGAAUGGAGAGGGAGGAACCUUUUGGCUACCAGGAGCCUCCCAGGUAUCACUCCUCCAAAGACAACACAAGAAAAGGAAAAGAAAAAAUUAUUUUAAACUAUUUGACAUCAUCUCAGUAACCUUUCAGCACAAUAAAAUGUAGGCAGUACACAUAGUGACUAUGACUGGCUUUCUGACAGCAAAAACAAGUUGCAAAGUUGUCAUCGAGUGUCACAUCAUCUGCUGUUUUGUUUCCGCCGAAUCAGCUUUCCAUGAAAACCUUUCUCCUCCCCCCGACCUCUUGUCAUCACAAAACACCAUCACAAUGUAGAAUGCAGCCACAGCUGCAGGAGAGUAACACAGCAGCCAACAUCAUGAAAGAGAGACGAGUGAAACGUCGGCUGAAUGGAGGUCAUGUUAGCUCACCAAUAUUAUCAUUCAUUUGAAAUUAGAACAUGGAAAAAGAGGCGGUAGGGCUAAAACAAGUGGUUCAUCAGGUGGUUACCAUGGCAGCCAGUCGUCAUGAGGAGGUGAAGUGUUUAAUCGUGGUCAUUAAUUGCUCAGUGUAGCACUGAUAGAUUAUCAUGUUGUGCUAUUUUUAUUGUUUUUUGCUGAAUGAGCUCAUUUCCUCACAUGGAGGUUUCAUCUCAUUCUGGAGGUUAUUUUAUCCUGCAGAGUUAACUCAGACAACACUUACACAAGGUGUAAACAUGAAAUCAGAAGAGUUGGACAGAGCUGCAGGGAGAGAACGGCCUGGAUGGAGCAGUUUACCGCGCCGUUGAUCACUUGAGAACGUGAUCUUCAAGGCAAAUCUCUCCCUGGGGAUGAUUAAAAACAAUUGCCGUUCCCUUCUCCAAAUCUCAAGUAUAUGCAGCUAAAACACGCCAACAGGCAAUGAAAGCUGGCAGCAUGAAUGAUGUUCAUUGCUCUCAUUGCCGAAGCUGCAAAUGCCUCAUUCCAGGAAAGAGGCGUAUGGUGAGCAUCCUUAAUGAGUGUUCGGGAGCAGGAAUUCACAUAUUUACUCUUGGUGUGAUUAGAUUGCAGUGCUGGUGAGGGAUCAGACAGAGCGGUUGUUUACCUAACGAUGCAUUAUCCUUUUGUGCAAUCAAUCUAUCCAACUCUGUGAAAUAGACAGCACACGUCUUUUGUCUUUGAAAAUGCAAAGCACCUUUCCAACAUCCGGGCUGGAUGUUUCUGGGACAACGGGAUAAAACAUGAAUGUACUUUGCAAUUUGUAUUGAGGUGAUUUUUCAGCCCGCUGUGCCUGCCAUUUUUUUUUGGGGGGGGGGGGGACAUUAAAUUGAUGUUGGAAAAGCAAGAAAGCGGAGUAUUUUUCUUGGCACACGAGCAUCCCAUUGAGCAAAUCUGACAGACAUUUAGGAGAUGGGAGAAUAGCUGGCUGCCGCCUGUAAAGAUCUGAGGUGCACGUGUUUUUCUCCCCACGAUUCAGCAGGGUGUUUAUUUUUUUUCAACAAAUGCCAGAGUAUUUUUGCUCACGUAUCAAAGCAAUUACCAUCAAUGCAAGGAACAGCACCACCUAUUAUGGAAAACAGUUGCAGGAGAUUGCAUGUUUUUCUCGUUUUCUUUACUUGAUCCCGAGUAUUCAUCCAUUUCAGAAGUUAUUAGGAUGGCUCAUAUUCCUUGGCAUGUGCAGAUGACCUAGAAUUUAAAUCCCAAUAUCUUUGGGUGAUAUUACCGUGGUGGUGUUAUAUACUGGUUUUAGACAUAUAGAUAUAUGUUUGGUCGAGGGAACUCUCAUGUCAGUCCUCACUAAUGUGAUUUAUCGGCAAAACAUCCUCUUCACAUCAUUGCAGUUUAUAUUAUAGGGUUGGGUGGUCUUCUCUCCAAGAAAGAUGUGAUGCUCACUGAUGUUUUAAACUAUAAAAGCCCUGACUUGAAAAACGAUUAUAUAACCUGUCACUCAGGGGCUCUUGUCAGAUACGUUCUACUGACUGGCUGUUGGUUCAUGAAAACUGCUUUUAAGUUAAGUGACGCCUGGAAAAUACACCUUCAUAAAAUCAAGUUCCUUAUACGUUUUUGACAUUUACAAUUUCCCAAUCUCUACUUUUUAUUUUACAUUUGUACUCAAUUCCUCUCGUAAAUUAUGUAUUGUAAAUGCAAACCUCUUAACAUGACUGUAUUUUAUUUGAAAACUCAAUCAUUUGAUAAUUAACGUGUCUUAUUUGAACAGAACUAAGACAGUGAGCCGUUAAAAUUCAGUUUUUGCUUGUUUGUUUCAUACCUGACAGAAGAGAGAGGAAAUGAAAUGAGGUUAAAGAGCGAUGAGCAAUGACGUGCAACUCGGAUCCCUGCCCUGUGAAGUUAACCCCUCUUUGUGUCUGAGGGUCCGUUUAGUGAGGCAAAGUGUUUCUGGUCUUGAGGCCUUUGUGAGGGUCAACCUUGAGAAAUGGGCCCGAAAUGCUAAUUCGCCAAAUUUACAUUUGGAAAAUCUUCUGAAACAAAAAACAAUUUGGUGGAUGACGCAAAUAACUUACUGUGAACAUUUAUCAUUGGAAUUCUUUUCCAGAUUUUGGUUAAUCAGCAAGAAAUACGGGACAAGCAGGAGAGCUUAUAUGCCAUAAACAAUAUUUACAUCCAUACAAGAACAAAACGUCAAACUUUGCAACUUGUCACAGAGUUUCACCGAGGAUGGAUUCUCUGCAGCUUAAACAUACGAAGUUGCAACAGUUGGCUCAGCGAUGGAAAUAUUGAUUUGUGGUGAUCUCAGAUGAUAUGAAACUGUUGAGGUCAGACUGUUUUGGAUCUGUCUAAGAAGAACACAAACCCAGGUCUCUUUCUGAGGGAUUGUAACUAUUUGUGCAGCAUGAUUUAUAAAAGCAUUUUAUUUUGCCUUUGAAAGAUCAACAACUUUUUAUAAAAAGGCCACGAGUCCAAACAUUUGUUGACUGUUGAAUUUUAAAUAGUUGAAAAACAAAGAUGCCAAUUUGGUUGACACAUUUCUUUGCAUCCCAGAACAAAUAUUUUGUACUCGCGGUACGGUCGGCCCUUGUGUGUGUGUCCCUGCGCAUGCAUAUGCAUGUGUUAAUUUGCAUUCGAGUGCUUAAUUGGAUUUAUGAUGCACCGCUGAGCGAAACGCCGCCAUCUCCUCAAACGGCGUCCGACGUCGACGCGGCCUUUGGACCCGGUAUCCUCUCACAGCCCAUCUGCGCCUCUCAUCCUCUCCAAAAAGCCAUUAUAAUCCGACCAAUCCCACCGCCUCUCGCCACGACUGCCUCUUUUUCUGGCAGCCCCGCCCGCCACAUUAGGAAUUGUAACUGGGCUGGAGGCUCCUUUUCCCUCCUCAUUACCAUGUCGGAGGAUGAUUCCGUCUCCUCGUCACCGCCGCUAAAUGCAUUACAGGCCCCCGACCGCAGGGGGCCCGAGGGAGCUGGCUUUGAGGAAGUCGGUGGUAAUUCAGUCACAGGCAGUGCUGGAAGAGGAUCUUUUUAUUGGUCCCUCGGGGGGGGGGGGGCUCUUUUCUUCUGGCCUCACUCAUGUGCUCUUACAAGAAAAGACCCUAAAAAAGAGAAGACAAAUGACUAGUGGUUUUCUGAAAAAUAUGAUCUGGCAGCCGAGGCUGGCAGGCAGGGACGGGGGGGAAUCGAACCGUAAAGGCAGGAAUCUCUCUCUCUCGUUUUAUGUCUGUUUGUCCAUCUGACCGUCAACGGGUCCAAUGAGUUGUGCGGAAGUCACAAUUAUUCUCACAUCAAGGAGGUUGGUUGUCUACUUACCUAAAAGUAAAGUAUGCUUUGGGUGUUUUUUCCUUUUCCUCUCCUCCCUUAUAUUGUUUGUAAAAUAUGAUUGAACAUGCAUGUGCAGUCGGCGGAUACAAGGUCUAAUGUGGCGCCCUGGUAUCACAACUUCAUUUCCACUAUCCAGUUUGGAAGAAGUUACAGCCUCAGAUUCAUAUGAGACAUUGCAUCCCUGUACUAAGAAACCGAAGGGCUCAGACAGAGAAUCAGUGUACAGGCGUACAGUGAAGGCUGGUUUAAGGUCAGCGUACGAGAGCUCCUCUGUUAUAACGGAGCCGAAAGAGUGAAUCUAAAGGCCCUCAGCUGACAGUUAAGUCCAAACAUCCGACAGUAAGGGGACACAACUGUGAUAGUGCAAAGUUUCCUGUCCCGUGUGCGUGAACGUUUCCUGUCACAUCUGUCUGCCUCUGUGUAAAGUCCAUCCAGAGCGCAGUGGCUCCUGAUCUGGGGCCAGUCAUCAUUUAUCAACGUGCAGCUCGUGUCUCGUUAAUAAUCCUCACAGUCACAGACUCGUUGACAGAUAACAGUCAGAAAUUACACACAGCUAACGAGACCAGAUGUUUGAUCGGUUUCUGAUGAAUCAUAUCUGGUACUGUGUUAACCCCCCCCCCCCCCCCACCACCCUCCCGCCUUCCCCUCUUUCACACUGGGCUAAGUCAUUACAGAUGUCAACUGGUUCCUACAAGAUCCCCCUCUGAUUACAAAGGGCCUGAGAAACUCAACUCAAAUUCAAGUUUUGUCCUUUUUAUUAUUUAUUAUCUAAAAUAUUUAUGUGUUGUCCUCUUGAUGUAAAACAUAAGAUUGAGUUUGUUUACACAAAAUGAAGAUACUGUGUUUUAUCUGUGGUAUUGCAUUUAGACAUAUUUCUAUAAUAUGACAUGAACCACACCAUUGUGAAAUAUAGCAAAUAAGAUCAGAAGAAUAGCAGGAGACCAAAACUAUGUGUAAUAAAAUAUGCAAAUGAUAAAAUCUGUAACUAACGCUAUAGCUAAAAAAAAUAGCUAGGUCAAACAUAUUUGGUUUGUCUUUUAACAAGGUAAGUAAAUGGAAAAUGUUGUAUUUAUAUGCACGAGGACAACAAGAAGAGUCGCUAUGUUCAACAUGUUCCAACAGGUGGAAUUCUGCCUCCGAGAUGAUCAAAUGUGUGUAGUUUUAUGUUAACAAUUAAACAACGGUGUCUAAAAUACACACAUUCUAAAGUGAUUACUACUUAAGAUAUAGUCUGUAGAAGAAAAACAAACAUUCGUUAUAAACAACGUUGUAACAACAACAUUCAUUAAUCGCCAUUAAUCAGGAUUAAUGAAUUUCAAAAUGUGCGAUUAAUUAGACUUAUCUAUUGACAGCCUUACUAUAUAUAUAUACAUAUAUAUAUAUAUAUAUAUAUAUAUAUAUAUAUAUAUAUAUAUAUAUAUAUACACACACACACAACAAUUACCCAUGUUUUGAUUUGGCUGUUUUAUAUUUUUCAUUAACAUGGUGAAGUUGUCAUUUUUUUAUUAAUGUGUUUUGAUAUAAGCAAUUUUAGUGAAAUGUUUUGUCCACCUAGAACCGACGCAUCAACACCGUAGGCUAAAUUCAUUUAUUACCUGCUCCGGCUCGCUCUUCUCUCAUUUAUUUUUCCAAUCCAAGAUGCGCACGAUGAAGUCGUAUCAAUCAUUCCGAAGUGUCAGCUCUCUAAACACACGCCUCAGGCAUGACAUAAAACAUUCUCUGAAGCAAUGUUCAGGUGGGUUAUUCAGCAGUGGGAGAAAACCAAGCUCAGCAGCAGUAAAAAGGCCGAGCUGGGAGAGGCCAACACCACCGUCUUUUGCAAGGCUCUGAAUGCCCUUUGUCUGAACAUUCACGCAGACUCCGGAGUAAAAAUCUCAUUGAACCAUCACCCUUAAUCAAUACCUAAAGGGCCUCUGGCAGAGGACCCGUCCCCUGCAAUCAUUUGAGUGUGUGCUCAGACUACUACAUCGUCUACCUGCGAGAGUGCUGGGUGCGUUGCCUCUCUGUGGUUCGUCCCUCUUUGUGAGUAGCGGCACCUUUUAUGCUUGUGCCCUCCAAACACGACCGAUGGGGACUGAGUGUUUGUAACUCUAUCAGUGGUCCCGCCUGGAGGCGCGGCGACGCUCUACCGAUGAACAGGCCGAUGUUUCUAAAAGAAAUACAGGAUUGAUUGGCAUAAGACAUAUGCAGUAUUCACAAAGUUGCACAGAUAUUACAUCUAUAUGUAUAUAUAUACAUAUCGGCCAGGAACCUACAUCCUCCAGAAGGGGAGUCUGUGGAAUCUGGUCCUCCGACAAGACGAAUGAAUUUAAAAAAAGGAAAUCUCUGCCGAAAAGAGGUGGGAGACGGAGCACUUAGCUGGCGCCUCAUCUGCCAUUAGAUCCCGAUGAAUUGGAUGAUGAGCCAUUUCACGGCGUUGUGUGGGUUGGCAGAUUCUAUGGCACCAAGAAGAUCACCACUCAAGAGGAGAUCCGUUAUGGGACCGUGCAUUUUGCACUAAAGUACACAGAUGCAACGUGUUUCAUUAUUAUGCAUGUAAAAAUGUGGUGGAAAGCCAAAUGCGACGUGAAAUCUUUACUCGGCUUCUAUUUUGUCAGCCUGCGGGAAAAUGCCCACGCCAUCACAACUCUACCCUCAAGGCUGAGGAACUCAAUUUUUAAUUUUUUUUUUUUACUCUUUCAUUUGCAGCUGAGGCGAGAGCCUGACAGGAAGCACUGAAUGAAUUACAUUUCACACGGGGGGGAACUUUUUUUCUUCCUCCUUUCAUCCCCUGCAUGACGCCACGGCUCCUCGUAUGCUCAGAGGCUACUUGGAAGCACUUACUUGUGGGAAGUGAUGCUCGCUGUGGUAAGGAUCAAAGAAUCUAUUCACGGGUCCUUCUGCAAAUGAAAAGGACACCCUCUGAGUUCUGGGAUAAAAGAUGGACUGUUAAAAGAAAAAAGGUGUGGGACGAAAAGGUGGGGUCAAAGAGGUCAAGAUAAGAGCAGCGUCAUUGUGGGAGUCUUUCACCAGAAAGGGGCCGGAGAAGAGAUUCUACGAGGCAGAAAUAUCACUGCCUGCCAGACAAUCAUCCAUUGAUCAUUUGAAUGCAAAUGCACAAGUCUUUUCUUCUGUCCUCCGAUAGUUGCUUUAGUGCAUUAGUUUCUUCUGCUGCCUGACAAAUUGUUUUUUUCUUCCAUUCCUUUAGAGAUGAAGGAACCGUCUUCUCUGGAGCCUCAGUUGUCAUCACAUGACUGAUGAUAAUAAGUACAGAUCAUUAUUGCCUGAUAUCAGGAGGUAAUUUACCAUGUUAAAGUUAGCAAACAGUUGCCUAUUUACACAUCCAGCACUUUGCAACGAUAUCAUUCAUUUGGAGUUGUGUUUCUGUCCAAUGUGCAGACACAUAUUUAGCUAAUCUCUAAAUGCGUCUGCCAUUUCAGGCUGGACAGUUACUGUGUUUAUCUUUAUAAACAGCUGCCUGCUGUGAUUUUUAAAAGUCGCUUGUAAGAAAGGUGUAACUUACUGUGAAAAAACAUAAAAUAUUCAGAGUGGCACACACCAAAGGUUGUGUUAAGGAUGUGCCGUUUUCCAGACGCAUUUAUUUUAUUCUGAUGACGUUUCUGCUUCUUCAAGGCCUUUGCUUUUAGGAUUAUUUAAAAAAGGCUCUUUAGGGAUUUUUAUUUAUAAGUAAUAACAUCAGAAAACCAGUCCAUAUUUAUUUUUCAAAAAUGAAACAUCAGAUCUGCUGAAAUAUUGCCAGAUAGUUUUUCACCUGUGGCUUCGUCACUGCUUCAGCUUCCAACCUUUCAAAUAAUCACGUCAAAAUGGUUGCCUCUUCUCUGAAUGACGUGCGCUCCACUUUUUGAAACGCAUCGCCUUCAAAGACCAGUGGAAUAAUUUCCAAGGCUCUAAAAAGCUCUGAAUUGAUGGCUGUGGGUCAGAGGAUUUUGUCUGCUCCAUUAUAUCCCACACUGGGCUUUUUACUCCCUUUGCAGACCUUUUAAAAUUGACCAAAAAGUGCCUCAUGUAAGGAACAGCGUGUCAAGUCUAUUCUUUUAUGUCUCCACAUUAUGGACUGCUGUUAUUUACACAUUCAAGAGGCUUUGUGGCAUUUGUGAAUAAAUCUGCCCCAUAUCACUGACUGACCCAAUGACUAAAACUUUUCCAGUGAAACAAUAACAUAUACUGAGUCAGUGGAUGGAUGGAGGCAGCUUCCAUAAUAAAUACCAGAGAAGCACCUGAACAAAUGGUCAGGGGACGGGAGGUGGUGGAGUUUAUUGAAUCAGAACUGAUCUAUCUCAUGCAUUAUGGAACUCAUUUGGCUGUAAAAUGUUGGGCAAACAUUGUGCGAAUCCAGAAAAUCCAUUCAGCCAUGCAGCUCCAGGCAGCAAAUCACAAUGGUGUUUUAGAUAAAGGCUUAAACUCUCCACCGUGUGCUCGUUCCUUCUCAGAAAUCUCUUUUAUUUGUUGCCGUAACAUAAUGUAUUUGAUAUUUUUUCCCUCUCAAUGUUCUGAAAUUUAGAAUCUUUCAAAGGGCUCAAAAACGUUUCAUGCUUUGAACUAAAAUCCCCAAAUACUAAAGUUCUUUUUUUACAGUAUAACAAAAACACCAACAUAAGAGCACGGAAUACGCUCACACCAUUUUCCUAACCUGACAAGUAAAGCAUGUGCACGGUGUCAAUAGUUUUGGGGAUGACCUUCAGAGACACACGAAUCACAUUAUAACUUCAAAGUCUUGAUCAAGCUUCAUGAAUGAUUCAUGAGUUCUCUCCAUGGUACAUAAAUGAUGCCAGAUGUUGUGCAGAGUGCCAGACUUAAAUCCAGUCCUGUUCUAUAACGCAUAUGCACAGCCAACCAAAUGUGUUAAUGGAUGCAAACUGUCUACAGUUUUCCGUGGAAUCAUAAAGCUUCGGGCAUUACGGCCUGAAACACUUCAUUCAAUGGGGAGAUCUCCUUUUCAUUGGUGUCAGUGGCCUGUGCUCCGAACCCACCAGCUCGCCAAAUAUUGACAGUUGCAAGCGGGAGAAUUUCUUCUAAUUAAAUAGCAGUCGUGGAAGUUGGAUAACCCAUAUAGAUCUGCUAGAUGUGUAUCACGGAGGAAUGAAACAGCUUCCAGCAAGAGAGGUAAUUUGAUUGACCUUUGAGUGUUUAUAUUGAUCAACGAAUAGAUUUAGAGUGAAUUAACGGUCAGAUUUGAUCUUGCCUUAAUCGACAAAGCAUAUGUUUGUGUAAUUCACCUCCAGCAUUGGGUCUAUAAUGAGGAGCCUAUUUUAAUGACAAUUUCCUUUUAACCGCAGUGAGGAGUUUUCUUUGUAUUCCGUGGUCUUACACUGAUGAAUCAGCAGCAGACUGAAAGCAUACGAGGCCGGAGCAUCGCGGGCUUUUGUGUUCUUGUUGUUGUUGUUGUUGUCGUCUUCAGGGAAAAUAGUCACAGGUAAACCAAAUCAAUUUAUCUUUUCAAGGUUGUUUUUCGGAACCAGAUAAAUUGAAACUGCGUCUGCUGAGUGGAUGUCACAGGGCUGGUAAUUGUCAACAAAAACAAACUUUAAUAAGCAGAACAGGAACACAAUGUCUCAUUUCGAAAAAGGCACUUGAGUAUCCGUUACUCCUCUUUUUUUUGCCAGUUGUGCAACCAACAUAACGUAGCUUAACGCCACUGUGCAAUCUCUGAGAUGACUCAUUUACAAGCAACGGGAUCUGCAGGCGAGACCGUCUGCUCUAAACGCGUUGCGCCGUCUGCUCGUCUGUUGUGCGCGGCCGCGAAUAUCCCAGGCAGCGCGUGUCAGCCGGCAGACGUUGAGGCGAGAUGGAGGAAUUACGUGAUUAACAAGAAAAUAAAAAAUAGAGGGAGUUAACCCAAACGUGAUUGAUACCAAUUAGCUUGCCGCUAUUAGCGAUGUGAGGGGGAACAGACGCCCGAAGGCGGUCUUCAAACGACACGUUUUAAUGGUUUUUGGCACAUCUUCUUUCCGAGCACACAUCGCUGUAUCCAGGGACAAAUUACGGAGAACUUAAGAAGGGGGUUUCUUAGCACCCAAUUUGCUUUUUAGUGCUCACCAUAGCUUCAUUUCCAGGGGGUCAAACUGCUAAGCAGCUGCUCUUUUUUCCAAUGAUGGCGUGUUACGAAAUUGCUCUUUUGGUCAGUGUGCUUUUGCGGUGAGCUACGCCUAAACCACGUUCCAGCGGGGCUCGGCUGAAUUCCCCCUAGACGUGGUGUGUGAUGUCACAGAAAGAAUGACACGAGAAAAUGUUGGGAAAACGUAUAUCGUUAAAUGUCAUCAUCCUGAAUGCUUUUCAUCAGACACACUCGGCACAUUUAAGAUCCCCUUUUUGAUGACGCCCACGUCAGGCCUGGUCCAUUUUAUGGGUCGUUUUUUUCCCACGUUGAAUUAAGGAUCCCAGUCAGAUGAGGUAGUGUUUGCACAAAAUGUAAAUUUCUUUCUUUCAGUUUAAAACACGUGUUCUCAAUAGAACUGUUGCUGAAAUAAGUAUUUUCAAGACUCAACAUUAGGUGAAGAUGUGCCGAACCUACAACUUGACUUCAACAACUUUAUAUCAGGGCAAAAAAAUAAAUAAAUGUGACACUUGGAAUCAGAUAGGGGGCAUUGGAGCCAGUCAUCAGUUCAGCUGAUAAAACCUGCGGUGCAUCCACGCAUGAAAUGGCUCCCUGGUCCGCGCAUUAUAGCUGACAGUGUGUACCUAGACAAGGGCGGAGUGUCUGCGCAUGAUAAUGUAGUCACGCGCGGGAUCAAUGUCUGAGUCACUUAUGAUAUUCAGUGCUCAUAAAUACGCGAGGUGGAGAGGUGGAGAGGUCACCUGGAUAUGGAGUUAUGACACUGGGAAGGAGAGUUGCACGGUGACCUUCUUCCACACGGUUACAGUUACCCAAAACAGUUACCCAAAAGUCAGUCCAGGAGUAGAGGCUUCAAAUUAAAUUUCUCUCAUUCUCAUUUUAAUCUAUAUCAUUUUUUUGUCUUAUAAAAUCUACAACUAGACUGAAAACAACAUUUUUUUCCUUAACUUUUUAUGGCCAACUUCUUAAAAAUAUGUAUCUGAAAUCUUUAGUAGUAACAACAAAAACCUUUUAAAUUACAAAACGGUCUUGCACUUACAUGGGGCUUACUUCAAAGAUUUCUAUAUGAUCUUUGGCAGCAUUAGAGGCACAUCUUUUUUCCUCUCUCCUCCAAAGGAAAACCAACUCCACCUUCGUUUUUAACUUUAAUAUAUUGAGUGAAAUCGCAUGAUGAGAAGCCCGGGGAAGUUUUUGACAGAGACUCAGAGCAGAGCUAAUGGCCCAUUAAGCGGAAAAAGCUGCUUUUGAUGUGACUGACAGAGGGAAGGGAGAAACAUCCAAGUGACUCAGAGCAUAGAGGCCUCAAAAGAGAGAAAGAGGAGUGAAGGUGAAAACAAAACCACAAAGCAAUCGUUUCCUCAACAUCAUCUGCUUAUGAUGGGCUUGCAGUACAAAGAGUGUCCUUGAUUAACGCAGACACGCUGUGAGUUUAAGAUCUUGUUAACUGUUUGGAUGUGCUGAUGAGCUCUGACCGAGCCUGUGCACAUAUUUAAUGCUCACCAUUAGCAUUUAAAGCAUUGUCUGGCCUCUAACGGUCAUUAUCAUGUCAACACUGUGACGCUUGCUGAUGAUGGAAGCCGCGUGCCUCCUACAUCGUGCUUGAAUCAGAUAUAUAGACUAUGCAUGGAUUAGGAAUUCAUUUGUAAAAUAUAUAUAUAUAUAUAUAAAGGCCAUUGCUAAAAGCAUUUUGGUGCUGCUAUCCGGAUAUCUAAAGUCUAUUUGGCACGUGGACAUGAGGUGGAAGCCAGAAGCACCGGCCGAUCACGGCACGCGUGGACGGAGAAGCUACAGGUGAUGCUGCUAAUGACAUUUAAUGCUCCACGUUAGCAGAAUAUCAACUAUCGAUCGCUCUAUGUCACCCGUGUGCCAUCUAUUCUCGUUGAUCCUCUCUCCGAUUCCACAUCAGUUUUAGUCACAUGAAAAGUCUUGGUUAUAAAACAAGAAACUGAUCAAGCGUUUGAAGGAUAAUUGCAACGACCGUAGCGGCCUAUCAUGUUCUAAAUCCUUGUAUUCCUUCUCUCGUUUUGAUCCAAGGCUCAGUUGUAGAAUACACCAGGGUUUAAUGGAAAAUCAAUCCCAGUUAUUCCACUGAAUGAUAACAGUAAACUGUGUAUUUAAAGAUACUUGAUCAAAAUACACCUUAAUAAUUAUAAUUAUGAAUUUGAAUUUCACCAUUGAAUAAUAGCUAGGAAUCCAGAUGGCGUUCAUCAUAAAUUCACCUGCCUUCAUGCAGACACACCUACACAGCUGAGCUCAAACCCUUCUAAUUGAUCACAGGUGUUAUUGCCACUACACAAUCUGUCCUAAUGAAGAUCGGUUGACAAAACUCAAUAUCUUUCGUUGCCGGAAAAAUAAAUAAAUCACAAUUCAUCUCGUUUCAGCACUUCACUUUGGACUAUUUUCAUUUUCAGUGGAUUUGCCAAUUUUCUCCAACCAAUCUAUGAAAAAGCCCACAACAGAAAUACAAUCUGCCCAAUUGUCCCUGAGUCUGAGCUGUUGAUCUUGAGCAAACACAGAAGGAAUCUACCUGCUCCACUUGGGGUUCAGCAUUGCCGCGUUUCCUCAUUACUUUGUUAAAUCGAUCGUCAUGGUCAUGACUGGGUCAUGGUUCUGUAACAAUACCUGAAUAUAACCCACGUAGAGGUAAACGGCGCCCGUGUUCCGCCGUUGGAAGUGACGUCACGCAAUAACUGAACUCAGGUAGGCAGAGAGAUGUCAUUAACACGCACUGUCCCUUUCUCCCCUAAAGCCUCUAUAGACGUUUUACUCUAUUGCACGUUUUACAUUCGGCGAAAGGAAUCACAUGUGGGACAAGAAGGGUAAAAAAAAAAAAGUACCGAGGCGGGGGAAGAUAUUUUUAGGCAGAGAGAAGGGUAGAGGAGGAAAGGAAGAGAUGACGGCUUGAUGGUGAGAAGAUAAUGAGGAAUGACAUACUGCUCAACAAAAUGUCAUCCCUCAGACGGUGGUCUGGGGAGCAUCGCUGCCAUUUCAGUGAGAUUGUUGCUAUAGAUGAGCUUCACCUACAAAGACAUCAAUUCCUCCGGUGCAGCAUUUCCUGGAUUCCAGGGCGAUAGGAGGCAGGCUUUUAAAAACGCAGCUUUGAAAGCAGACGGAGUUCCAGCUCCGGCGAGGCUGCUUUUGCAUUGAGACGAAGGUUGAAUAGGAAAAGAGUGCAUGUAUAUCUUUAGAUCAAGAUUUUUUUUUUACAUACUCUGAAAAAAGAAGGGCACUGUAGCUUUCUGUCUCGCGUGACGGACCCCUGCGGUGAAACUGAUCGUUCUAAAAACGGAUUGAUUUGCUUUUGAUAAUCUGGUAAAGGUUAUCUGCUCAUACUUUGUCAGCGAAGCCAAUUCUGUCUGAAGUGUUAUUUUUCCGCUGUUAGUUUUUUAAAGACACAAAGGAGUCGAUUAAAGGCGAUGAAAGGAGUCACAUGGCUAUUCUCCCGUGUGUCUUUGAAAAUCAAACAAAACUUUGUACAAACAAGGCAAAGCCAGCGAAAGGUGUAAGACAGCACACGGACCAGCACAAUUUAAAACCAUAGAUGUUCCAUUUCAAAAGUUCACAGCGGGGGGUCAAAUAACUGCGCUUUGUUCUCUCUAGUGGUAAGGGGAAAUAAAUGGCUUUCAAAAAUGUCAGGCUGACUCCUGAAUGAGACGGGAUGCUCCACAGGUUCUCUAACAGUGAGGAAAUGGGGGAACUCCUGCGGAGCACCAGCGUUUACCUUUUAAAUUCAAGUUGCGCAAGCAGUGUACGUAUUGGAAAAUAUAAAAGGGUGUGGCAAAAUGCUACAAGCUGUACUUUCACACUAACUUAAUCCUCAAGCAGGAUACGUGGGAAGAAACCAUUAACGGUGGAAGGCAGGAAAUGGACACAUGGGUGAGCAGAGCGGCUAUGAAAAAUAGAUGUUUUCGUACAAACUUGGAUAUUUGGAUGCCUAAAUUGAUUGAUGAAUGGAUAACCCAUACUGAUACAUGGUGAUGGUAUAGACAAUUCAAAUCAAUGGGUAAUGUCACAGUGUGGUUCACUUCCUGUCUUAUUUUGUAGUUUUCUGCCACUCGUGUCCCCGGGUAACUUCACUUCCUGCCUUGUCCCGUCAUCCCCUGUGAUUGUCUAAUAGUUUCCACCUGUGUCCAAUCACCUGCACCUCCCUUGUGUAUUUAAGCCGUGUGUCUCUUGUGUCACUUGUCGCGUCUUUGUCUUUUGUCGUGGAUGUUAGUAGGUCCUGUCUGCCGUUUUUCCCCUGAUUCCUGUGUGUUUUUGGCCUUUUGACUAUUAAAGUCUUUUUCCUGCCUCCUCCACGCAUCCCUUGACAGGUAAUUGACUUGUAUGAGGAUAUGGAUGUUUGAAUGGGUGAAACUUAAGGGUUAACAGGAAAUACUAUUUGGUUUUUAAUGUUGCCAGGUUUUGUAUAUUAUCAAAAAUCUUCCAAUGUUUCACUCAAACCUUUCCAUAGAUCCAUGUUUCUAAAACAUUCUCCAGUCGUCUUCAUAGAAAUGGAGAACUGCUCGAUUUGUUACCCAAACCUCAACUUGAUGCAAAUGAGCACGCGAGGAGUUCAUUAUUUAUAAUAAUUCAUCUACAUUUUGUAGAAAUGUGUUUGCUGAACAAUGAAAUAUUUAUCAGCACCGGAGACCAAGGACAUUUUGAUUGACAGGGUUAUAUUUAAACAAAGCCGGUGGUUAAUCACUUAUCCCCCCCACACAAGGACACACCGCUUGGUAUUUGUUCGCUAUGUCUAAUUACACAGAAUUAAAUUCCAUAACACAUUGUAAAAACAGCGGCAUUUCAGACCUGGAAAGAAAUACUGCAUAACAUUUUUGAAGGAAGUGAGGUAACUCAAUAAAAUAAUUGUGUUUUCUGCAGUAAUAGACAAAAGGAUCAGGGCUUCCUCCUCAACCAUUUCAGCGCAAUCUAUAAUGACACAGACUAGUUCAAUAACCACCAUCCAAAUCAUUUCAUGCUAAACUUUUGGACAAUUUACUUUUUCAAAGAUCAUUUCCUUAAUAAAUGUUAAUCUUGUUUUAAUCCAUAUUGGUUUUGGACUGACAAACCGCAGGGAAUGAUGUCUUUAUUUAACGGGCUGUUGGCAGGAGAAGAGUCAGCAAAAAUGGUUUUACAUAAUGAUAAAGAAAACUACACUUUUCCAGAUAAGCUUUAGAAAGUGCAGCAUGAAAUGUCUUUGCCAGGGUGGAGGGAUAAUCUGUAGAUGCAUGAUGGGUGGAUGGAGUGAUGGAUCAUCUGUAGCCUCUUGAAUAUAAUGAAGGAUUGCAAUGAGAAAAAUAGGUUUGCUUUUGUUUUUGGGUUAUGAAUUUUCUGAACAAAUACGUUUUGUUUUGUAGUUCCCCUUUGGUUCGUUGUUGUUGUGAAUGCCACACACAGGGAGCUUUAUCUGUGUGGUGGGUGGGGUGACGUGCCGGUGACUGAUGGAGCUCCUUCACAGAGUUGACACCGGAGUCAAGCGGCCCCCUAAACUGAUAAGGAAUGAUAGAACACCUCAGAUCAAGUCCAUUGAAAUUCAGUGUCACCAUGUUUUGAGCUUUGCACCGCUAUCUUCACCUGUUCGUUCCCAUAUUUACCUGAGAUGAGUGAUUUCCCAAAGAAGCACAACCUUGUUCUUUGUUAGUGUAAGACAAGAGAAGCCAAACGCCAGACAAACUUGCUCAAAAGUUUCAGCACAUUAUUUCCCCGCGAUAAUCUGUCCCUUGUUGAUUCCAGCGCGGCCGGCGGCCGUGAUGCGCGUUCUUAGCUUCCCGGGGAACGAUCAGCGGGGAGGUCGCCUCCAAUCAUUUCGUCUCCGCUGGACUAGAAUUCAUGACGCGCUCAAUUGAAACUUUCCAUCUGUGAAUACUCUGCACCAUAAAAUGCUGCUCACAGGAGGUGCUUAAAAAGUAACACCUGCUUUCCCCCCCAGUUUCGCUCAAAAUGAGCUCCCCUCGUUUGUUUCUGCCUGCUGAAUCGCUGACUGCCGCCGCAAGAAAGCUUGAUUUUGAAAUUGUUGUGCAAAAACAAACUUGGGAAAUGUUUUAGAGCAGACAUCCUCACGGGCUCAAAGACGUGUGAAUGGAUAUGCAUUACACACCAGGUUUCACCAUCAUUUGAAUUUUUACGAUUUUUUUUUUUCCCUAUGGGUCCAGAUGGGAAAUUAUACUUCCUGAUGAUUCACUUUUUUAAUUAUACAACAGCCAAGGCUGUUUGUGAGAUGACAGUUUGGAAAGAGCCGUAAUUCGGAUGAUGCUGAAAUGGAUGAUUAAGAAUCCCCACAUACUCUCCAAGGUUCUUUUCGCAGGAGACUUUCAUAUGACAUUAUCUUUGUUUGUGAAGGUUCAUUACUCGUCAAUACAGUUGCUUGUGCAAAAACCAAGUCAGAUCUGACUCGAAAUUGAAUAGUUCUGCCUCAAAACUAGCAGCAGCAGCACGAUGCACCGCCAAUUGAAGAGCAGCGGCGAGGACACAGCACAAUGCUCUAAUAUUAAAUUCAAUGCUUUUCACAGUUCACUGUCCAUAGGCCCUCCGGAAACUCAUUUUCCCUUCAGCGAUGAUUGAUUCCCCCCACGAUCCAAGUUGAUGGCAAGUCUCCUGGGAUCCACUGGGGUGUUAGACGUAUUAACACAGAGACCUACAGCGACGGAGCAGUGCCCUACCCAAACCCAAUUACCACGGAAGUAGGUAUGACCUGUGUCACUCUAUCCCAGCAUCAAGUGCGGUGUAAAUGAAUCCCUCCAUUUUGGGGGGGGGGGGGGGAAGGGGGUCGGAGUCCUUGGAACUUUGCCAAAGCCGUCUUUGUCCGUAUUACAGCCCAAAAAGCUUCACAUGGUGUAUCCGUACCGCCUGUGUUUCCCCAGCUUUCAUCCCUCAAUAUGUUUCUUUCAUUUUGCUCCUCUGAUGUUUGUCUAUUCUUACCAUCAAAGCCUAGUCCAAUUAACUCACUACAAUAUUUGACUAUAAAUGUGGUCAAAAUAAAAGAUUUUAUUCUUGUGCAGAGAUAUUUGGUACCCUAGGAUCUGAUCUCGUCUCUAGGCCGGGCUUUGAAGGGUAAAGAUUGAUGAGGCUGAUGACAGUAUUUGGAAUGAUGGCAAAUAAAUCGUUAAAAUACUACUCAAGCUUGUAGUCCUUCAUCACAAAUUACAUCCCUUAAAAUGAGAUUAACAAGAUUAACCAGCCAUCACACCUUUCACUGCAGCAAUUUUUAGCUCUGCUCCACACCCGGAAACAAACUGGGGAAAUGACAGUUAAAACCAAAAGCUGGCGUUACAGAAGCCACGUGACAAUUGUACUUUUCUUCACUUUACUUUUCUAUAUUUACAGAGGUCGUAUUUUGAGUUAACACUUUUACUUUUAGAAGGAACAAAUACCAAAAGGCUAAAAUAGACUAUUUCUGCUAAAAAAGAAAUAAGGAAUCUUCAGGGCAGCACAGGUAAAUUACACAUAAUUGCAAAUUAGUUUGUGCUCAUACAGUAAUUCCUCUCAAAGUGUUGUGUUUGGCUUGUUUGAGAGCCAUAAAUGUGGGUUUAUGCUUAAAAGGUUUGGGGCACAACACUUAUUUCAGCGUUUUCACAUUUUCUUUCAUCUCGUUAUCUUCCCUACCGCUCAUAUUCACGACUCCUGUAAUGUGUAAUAAGAGCCGUGACUUCUGGGUGAUCAGCAGGAAUAGCGACGGCUGGGGCCUUCAAACCGGCAAUUUGGUGCUGAAGUACGCACUAACGAUAAGGUAUGAGCUCCAAUAAGAGUGCAACAUACGAGCACCGCAACAGCUAAUGGGCUGAAACAAAAGCAGCGGAGUCACUUUGGAUGUCAGCAGAAGGAAAACAGAAGGGGAGGAUAAACAGCUGAUGGGGACUACAAACAGACCGAGACACAACUCGCGUCCAUGAAAACUGGCAUUCCGUACAAUUUGCCACAACAUUAGUUCCAACACAAUCGAGUGAGCGCAAUGGCAUUGGUAAUUAGAUUUGCUUAGAUGUACGAAAGCAGUCGCCAGCGGCUGCAGGGGGAAAUUUCCUUUCCGCCAAGGUGAUUUUUAUCGACGGAAGUGGAAGAUGUGACAGCCAGACAUCUUCGACGUGGUUAGGGGCCGACGCUUGUCUUUGAAUCUUCACUGCCGAGACGGCCACGAUAACCUAUUAUGAACACUGCUGUUGGGGAUACAUUGACACAUAAAUAGAUGACAGUAUUAGGUUUUAAAAAAAAUCAAUGGCCCUAUGAAAUAUAUAUGCCUUUUAACUCUGACUUAGUCCGGGCAAACAAAAGUGUUACAGCAAAAGAAAGUAGGCAAGUAGUGUACAUUUACACUCCCAGCAUCCCUCGCCUUCCAAAGGCUCAAGUAGCCAAAGUGCUUUCAUUUUCAGCAAUUUCGACCGCUGUGAGGUGACAUUUCUCAUGAGCAAUAAGAUCACCUGAGCUACGACAACUCUUUUUCCGCAGCGCUGUUCAACGCGCUGGAUGACUGCCUCCGCCUCAGCAAUCCGUGCUGACACGUUUAGCCGGCGCAUCUAUUUCCCCCCCGUGCUGAGGGCGUAAAGACUUAAAGGUUUGGAGGACUGGAUUUACUCAGAGGCAAAAUGGGACGCGAUGAGCCAAUGAAAACCGCUUGUGCUGAGGAGGCAGCGGCCGUCGGGUGGAAGCCCCCUUUGAGACUGACUGUGCAUUAGUGCCUCCUUAGUGGUAAAUGUGUCCCUCUGUCUGCCACGGCCAGAUUGCUCUGCGAGCAGUCAGUCUUCCUCGUGAAGAAGAAGCCUCGUGCUUGCGGCUCACUUGUUAAGCCCUCAACAUAUGUGUUACCUUGGGGAGACGUACACCUCUUCAGUGCGUCACGUAUAAAUAAAACGUAAUGCAUGUCUGCAGGGGCAACAGGUUCAGUCCCUAUGGGUUGGAAGGGGUAAGAGGAGCUAUUUGAGUGGCUUUGAAUAGUGUGUUUUGCCGCUAAUUGAACUGGUUUAAGAAUCAAAAGAUAGACGUGGCCUCAUGGGGUCAUAACAAAUGAGAGGUGUCUAUUAGCAUUAAGGGAAGGAUGCUGUUCUUACCACAGUUAGAGACCAUAAUGAGGAUAAAUCAGAUCCAUUAUGUCAAACCAAAUGCACUCACGGUUCACAUGUUAAACACAUCAGGGAAGAGCUGGAUCCGAAUGUGGGAUAUGAAGUAAAUAACCUAUAGAAUACCGGGGAGUGAAUUUAAGAAACAAAAAGGAAACCAAACGAUAUUCCUUAAACCCUUUUCGCUUAUGUGUUGGUGCCUCAACCGUUAUCCACUAGAAGCUGCAAAAAAGGCUGUGUGAAUUUGUUGUAACCAGAAAUGCACAAAUUGCAUUUUGGUUGAUAAGCCCAGAAGCGUCCUGAUGUCAGCAGCAUAAGAAGUCUCUAAAUACAGACGCCGCAGCACAUUCCUGGUGGGGCGUCAGUGACGAUUGAGAGCGCUUCCUUCUGCAUGGUAUUUUAUUCUUAUCGCCAGUUCACAGUAAAAUGAUUAUUAACAUCUCACACCAGGACCUGCAACUUCUGUUCUCACACUCGCGAUUUGCGGCUUCAUUUAAAGAAACUGGCAUCAAACUCCAACUGGCAAAGAUAAAGUUGUUCCUUUUGGGGAGCAGUCGUACGUUGCCUCCAUCCGUUAAAGCUCAACCACCUGGGAGCCACAGGGGGGAGUCUGGCAGAUCCAAAAGGGAAGUUAAGAAGAGUUGGCACCUCAUCGUCAGAGUUUCUUUAGAUACGAGGUGUUUCUGCCACGAGAGAUUCAAUUGAUUCCAGCGGCUCGUUUCUGUUGCGUGUGGAAAGCCACAGUCACCACAGUGCGUUAUUAAGGCAAACAAUACAGCGUUUGACCUUUCAGACCCCCUAUUAAAGGCCUUCUAGCAUCCAGUACUAAUUCCCUAUGACAACAAAAAUAUAUUUUCUGUUUGGAGGUUUGUUUAUCUGACAGAAAUUGAAAUAAUGUUGUUAAUAUAAUAGUUAGAUUUGUAUUAUCUUAACUUUCAAGUACUAUGCAUAUGGAUGCUUGCCGUCUAAUAUUUAAUCUUGUAAAAGGCGGCAUGUCAGUGAUUCCAGAAACGGGACCGGUUUGCCGGAGGCCAUCAUCACACCACUCCGUAUGAACGGUACAUUUCCAACACCUCCGUGAAUCCAGGCCUGAGUGGCCACACAAUCGCACACAACGGUUUGUGUUGAUUUUUCCUCCAAAUGUCAGGCUACGCGAGCGAUCAAGGUGCGAUGCAGGACGUCUUCAUGCAACAAAACUACGUGGGUAGAAACAUCUCCUCUUGGCCGCCAUCGCACAUGUGUGACUGAAGCAGCAGCAUCGUUGCAAGCCUUUGCAUUGAUAGAGUACCGUUAUAUUGAAUAAUGUUGACAUGUGAAAUGCAAUAUGAAUGUUUCAUGUUUGCAUUGCACUAAAACUAGAACGCUCUCCAGAAGAAAGAGGGAACGAGGUCUGUUUUCAUGUUUCCAGGCCUGCAAAAAACACUUCCGCUGAGAACAAACAAUAAGGCAAUAAAGAAAUUCUCCCGGGGAAUCGCAGCUUCAAAAGAAAGGAUAUGUUAACAGUGCGUGCCUGAAAUGGUUAUUGAUUUUAUGCUCGUGUGAAACAAGUACAGACGCUCUUAAUAAUUACGAUACUCCUAGAUUUAAUCUGGUCAACAGGCAAAACAAUCAAUACAUUUUCAUCUCCAUCAGGUCCUGGUGGUGUAAUGCUGGCUCUCAUUUCUUCAUCCCACCUAAGACCCCAUUUGAGAAGAUUUUCUCUGCUUUUGGGAGCACUCUGAUUUUCAUCACUUUUUCUACUGCGCUGGAGUUUUUUUCACGCUCUGCUUGUGUCAGCAUGUGCAAUCCCUGUACUUCUAUUCUUCCAUGGAUCAAUGUCUGCAUCAGGUUAUAAAGAUGAAGAAUCGUGUAGUAGGGUUCGUAUUGUUAUUACGUUUAUUUUUGAUGAUGAUGAAUGUAAAACUAUUUCAUAGUAGAUUACUUAAGUCAUUCCAUUACGAGAACAUGUAACACCUGUUUCCCACUCCCAGAAAAAGUAAAAGAUUGUCAUUACAUUUACUGAACGCAUGAAUCUUGACUACUAAACAAUAAAAGCUUUCAGUUAAAUAAAUGAGCACCUGUUCUUAAAGCCAGUGCAAACUUGAAAUUCUUCAGUCCUCUGAGAUGAAAACAGGAACAUCUUUACGUUUUAUAGCUCAGUAGUCAGUGGAACUCAUUAGAUAUCCAACAACAUGCUCUUGCUACAUCAUUUAUUCUCAAAGAAUGGGUCAUUUGUCAGCAUCACCAAAAACAUUUGCUGAAUUUCUUCCACAGUAUUUUAUUCAACACAUAUAACCGUGUUACGUGUCACUUCCCCCCCCAUCCUGGUGUCCCUCUCCCUCCUUACAGGUGCGAUCCCGGUGAUUGGGUUCCACCUGCGCCAAUCAAACAACAGGGCGGGGCUCGGAAAUUAAAAGGAGGGAGACGAGGCUGAUGCUGAUCUGCGUGAAUGAAUGUGGACGUUGUGUUGUGAAGGUUUGUGGAGGACCAGGUGAGUCUCAGGUACUCUAUACGUUGCUAUUGAGAUAUCUGACAAGGAAAGUAAAUUGUGUAAAAUUGCCAUCAGUUGAAGUGACUUCCUGUGGGACAAAAAGGAAACGUAACAAUCCGCAAUAGACCUCUGAGCCACAAGAGGAAGCUGGAAUCUUUGAAUCGUUCUGAUUAUGUUGCCUAUUUAUAACCUGGAAUCUAAAAUGAAAUGCUAGCAUACAAUUGGUUUAAUGUUUGAGAGGAAAUUAAAAGAAAGACGGCCUGUUAACUCCAGUAGGUUUUAUUUGGUCUUCUGUAUUUUAACGUAUGUCUUUAAUAGCACACACAUACAACAAAGCUGUGAAUUAACGAACAUACAUGCUUUAAAAAAAGGCUGGUUUACCUAUUCUAAAUAAUAUAUAUGGUGAUGUGGAAAUACCAGUAAAUGGUCAGGGAUAUUUAUUUAAUGGUACCGCUUCAGCCAACAUGUGAAGUGCUGGAGAUUAUAGAGACAUAGCUACUUGGUCAAUAAAUACAGUCUGUACGAAAGAAGCCCAAUGUAAAGCCUACUUUGUAUACUCCUUUGUGAAUUCAGUUCUUGACAUCUGAAAAGUCUUAUGCAACCUGGCUUGAACAUUUCUGUUUUUUGUUUUGCCCACACAAACUUACAAAUACUGGUGUAUCGAGUGUCCGUCGGGGAGCGACUCACGGAAAGUUUAGGUCGGCUUUAAAGGCAAAGAGUGGGCCGCGCUAACACCCCCGAGGACUCCACCUCACAUGAAUCCAGUACCUGAGCCCGCGGGGGGCACGCCUGUUAACUGGAACCUCGCGUGUCAGCGGCUAUGUGUCUGUUGCGAACCAAUAUCCUCCCGGGCAAUAACGCAUUUGUCAUGAAAGAAUGGUUGCUACGGUUACCGCGGCUGCAGGCCAGAAGUCUCUGCACGAAAUACCUCCCAGUGUCAAGUUCUGUUGAGCGCAUCGACCGUUUGCGCGUGCAUAUCGAGUUCAGGACCACGAUACGGGUGGAGAGAUGCCCCGACCCCACCCCCCGGAGGCAGUCGGAGGUGGGUGGAGGGCUCCUGCUGAGACCGCGUGACCGCAACGCCGCCUCACCUUUGCGCCCAGCUCCAGCCACCCAAGGCCCCUCGAUUAUCACCCUGAUGAAUUGCAUCCAUCAAGCGCUGUCAAUUACGAUUAUUAAUCUGUUCUCCAUCCGCACGGCCGCCACCUCACCUGCAACCUCGCCCCUCCCCCCCCCCCCCCCCCCCCCCCCCCACACACUCGUCCUCCGUGGACGCAAAACGGCCUGCCUGUCGGCCGCUAAAUCAAAUUACCUCUGAAUAACUGAUGGUGUGUCCAAAUCCAUUGCUCCCGAUAGCUGCAACCAUGCCCCUAAUCCCCCCCUGCUGUUGGCUCAGAUGAAAACGGGGGGGAGGGGUAGUCCAAUCGAUAAGGACUCAAACUGGUUGUGACAGACUUGGCUUUUGUUAGCCAGGGCGAGAUGGCGUCUCCUUAUUGGACUUCAGGGUGUCCCGGGAUGCUCUGACGUGGUAUUUCCGUUUCAGACGCCAUGUGCUCUCUCCCUGCUGGGAGGCCAGUCGCUGCACAGACUCCCGACAGGAGUCCAAGCAACUCUUGGCGGACCCCAAACUACUCCUUUCCUUCAGCAAAUGAUUGCUCAUCGCAAAGGAAAUUAACACUGGUUGGAUUUAAAGAACAUCUGCGAAGCAAAUAUUCUGAGGCUUAGCAUUUUAAAUGAUCAAGGGUCAGCGCAGUGAAACAUGUCUCCCGCCACCCGAAUGUGUGCUCUCUCUCAGAUGUGCACUUUGUAAUUCAGUCACUCCCCUCGUUUUCAAACGUCUGCCUUGUCCCUGGAGCUCUCUGUCCCAGUAUUGCCGUCCCGAGCCGCCUCAUUAAUGAACUGUAAAUACUCUGCCAUGCAGCGAAAUUGAUUGACUGGUGAGCACACCAGCACUGGGAGGCAAAAAGAAAAUGGUGUAACCGGAAAAACAAGUUUACUUUCUGUUUAGUUUAAUUUAUAACACUCGAUUCACAGCUGUCUUUGCUGUAAUGGGACGUGUUGUGUUUAUGGACAUAAAUGUGUUUGCCAUCUGCAAUACCAUAGUACACAGUAUACCUAUCAUACACGGCGAGCUGCUUAAGCGUGUUUGUCUUGUAUUAGCUGUCCUCCGUCGCCUUGUCCCUUCACACUCAGACCCCGAAUCCAAUUAAUGGAACUAAAAACUGCUGCGUAUCUCUGACAGCCCGUCAUAUUUACAACGGGUUGGCGGUCUGAAGCGGGAAGUGAUGGCCAGCCAAGUCCCCGUCGAGGCAAACAUUCUUGGCGGUACACCACCCUACUUAAAAGGGCGCAUGAAGAGGAUUGCCCGAUGGCCAAUUAUCACCGGCAGCCUCUCCCUCGAUGAUUCUUGUAUUAAUGAAUGGUUGACGCUGCUGAUCCGACGUGGAUUUAAACGAAAUGCUAUUAAUCGGGUUUUAUGCUGUCUUGCCCAAAACCAGUUUCCAUCUCUCGAGGAGCAAUUGUUGCCAAUAUUUUUCUGGCUUGAGGCUCUCAGUUUUUUCAGCGAGCGCACUAAAUGGCUUCUGCAAACUGCCAGCUGACCCAGUGUGGGUGGAGGGCAUCCAACGUGGUAACAUUUUAUGUUCAUGCACCAACGAUUCACCAUUUUCAUUUCUCAGACAUCAAUGUUCUUUUAAAUCUAUUUGUAUGUCCAAAAAGUCUUCGGUUUGUUCUGUUCAACCAACUCGUCCAACCCCCAGAUAUCUAGUUUUCUGACCCAUUACACAAAGAGAAGGAGCUACUCCUCAUGUUUGAGUGGGAAACAAAUCCACAGGAUUCAGUUACUUAUUAUUUCAGGAAAGUGGUGCACAAAGCAGCUAAAAUAUAUAUUUACUAAACCGGGCUAAACUACCUUUUAAUAUUGGAAAUGCAUUGAUUUAGGUGGAGGAAAACAUCACUCCAAAUAAAUCCUAUUGAUGCUACAUGGCUGUUGGAUGAGUAUAUGGCCAACAUUAUAUCAUUACCAAUGUCUUUAGUACCAAAUAGUCCUUCCUUCGUCUCAUCUUUUGCACAGAUGAUACAACCUGGUGCUGGUCAUACGACACCUUUUUGUCCUUAUUGAAUGAGUUUUAUCUCCAGACACUUGAAAUAACUCCACUUAGCAAUUGCAUGCCGGGAUUUUUCAUAAUAAACAGCCUUUUUGAAUCCACAUAUCCACAUAUGCCCUUGCAAAAUAUAACAAUAAAAUAAAAACUAUCCUGUGAAAUAUUUUCCUGAUUUCUUGGGGUAAAGGAGAGCCAUUUAAUCAUCAAGACACUUUGCCCUUAGCUGAUCUAUUAACAACACAUUUGCAGUCUAACUUUUUUCCACCCCUUUAACUCAUUGUAAUGACAGCAUGAUGUCAUAGUAACCACCACUCGUCGAUGAACAUUACCAUUAAUGUUGUGUUCAGGGGGGGGUUUCAGUGGAAAAUGGACUGUAAUUCUUUAACAGUUACUCACUAAGAGAUUGAUCCAAAUGAGCUGUAAAAUGCGGACUUCAUUGGGCAUCUAAUGGACGCUGACAGAAGAGAGAUAUAGUGGUAUUAGUUUGCAUUAAUGGACACUUUAAUCACUGCCUGUUGAGGCAUAUGUCAUUGUUUAAUGAUGCUAUGGUGCAAUUCUGAGCUGCCAUUAAUGUGUUUUAUUGGUUUACAGUCUUUUUAUUUCCGUCAUGGGCAAUGACAUGUCAUCCCUGUCAAAACUGUACUCGGCUUACUGAAAUACACAUAUUUCAUGUGUGUGUGAUGGUUUAAUCCAACUGUGGAGGUUAACCUGGUACAUCUUGGGCCUUUACAGGACGGCUCAAGGUUGUUUCCAGAAAGAUUUCCACCUAAAACAUGAUCCGUUUCAGGCUUCAUUACAGUGCAAAGUCACCUGACUCCUUGACAGCAGGCAGCUGUAGUUUGUGAAGAAUGUGGGAUGGGAAGGUAAAAAUAAAGCCGAUGAAGAGUAAAGAUGAAUCUGAAAUACAGUAGCAGCUACAAGGUAAGACAGUGGAGAAAUCUGCAGUGGGGAAGAGCUUCGGUUCUCGUCAACAGAUGUGUCACCACGUCGUCAAACUGCAUGACGGGAGGAGGAGGGAAGGAAAGAGGCAGAUCAGUUACAGCACAUGUCAGGCUGGGUGAACUUCUUCUUGAGUAGAAAAUAAGAUGCGGGGAAGUGUCAUCCCAUCAACAUUAGCAGUCUACGGUCAUUUCAAGUAAAAUGAUCAUAGUAUGAAGUUGCUAAAGCUGCACACAUUAACUAUGUCCAUUACUUAGUGGGAUUCAAAGUCAAGAGGUAAUGGACAUAUUGCAACCUGCAGACAGUAGAUACCUCUGCAUGUUUAUUUACAUGCCGAUUCAUCAACAUAUGUGUGUUUGAGUCUGAUGCUAGUGGAGAUUGCUGCGUUGAUGGGACCAUUUCCCACGAUUGUACAAUAGUUUCCAUACCGUUAAUUCAUUGUUUAAUCACGUAAAGUCAACCUUUUACAGGCACUGGUGGCCACAUAUCAAUGCUCGCUCACUGACCGUGAAGUGAACGGCUCAGUUGCAUUUCUCAAGGUUUUACUUUAUUCUCAGUUUUCUUAUUUUGUAAGAAUGCUAACGUUUUCUUGCUUCACUUUCAGUAAGAACUAUAGGAAACCAAGGUUGAGGUUCAUAUUGACUUUUUGCAUAUCAUGCAAAAAAAAAACAUUCAUAUCAUCCACCACUGAUAUACAAAAAAAUAACUAUCUUUGGAGUUAAUGAAGCCUGAUAACUUGUGUUGUCUUGUGUUCUGAAUUAAAAUGAUUUUAAGGACGAGAGAUUAUGUGUGGAGGCUGCAUCAUCUUUUACAGGAAGGAGGCUUAAUCUGCACUUCACUCAAAUGUAGACAUUGAUGGCAGCUUUGAUUUCCAAAUGGUCUGAGUCCCAUUACAAUAUGCUUCUUAACAUUUCUCAAUAGAAAUGUGCGGAAUCCCUGCGGCAAAUGACUAAAAGGGUUGCGCCUAAACGUUUGAGAAAAAUGUGUUUUAAAAAAUAUAUAUAUUUUUUUAUUAUUUGGCUCUCAGGGCUCCUGCAACGUCCCAUCUGUGCCGCCCACUUAAAAAGUUCCGAAAAGAAAUUCGAUCUUAACUCUCUGGAAGCUGUUACACAGCAGGUAAGAAUGCCGUUAAAGUCCAUGGAAGAAAUCAUUCAGGUUCAAAAUUCCACUCUGCCACUUUUACACAAUGGCACGAAAUUACACCCUAAAUUACAUUUAAUGGCAAAGACUUUUUAACGGCAAAGAAUGCCUUUUGAAAAGGACGUAAAGCAUUGAUUGAAUACUGAAUGUGAGGCAUUGGAUUUAUUGCGAUAACGGAGAGCAAGCACGACUGAGGAAUGAAUUCAGUGGAAUUUCUUCCCCCACAAUGAGCAGCAUAUUAUCCAGAGUGAGGCUUUGAAUGGAAAACCUCCGCCUGUAAAAGGACAGCGAUUGCAGACCUCCAGCAGGAUGAUGUCGUGACAUUAGAGACGCUCAUUGUUCCGUGCGCAGAGGGCUCCACCGCGCUCAUCGCGUUCCAACCAUGCCGACAGAAGGGCUGACAAAUCCCGGGUCAGAACCACCUGAUCUAUGGAUCUAUGCAGCAUCAGACAAAUGAGUCGAUUUUUUUUUUUUUCUCUUGACCUUUAGCUACGACGGCAGAGAAAAGGGUUGAAAUAAAAACGUCGGGAAAAUAAAAUAAAUCAUUUUGUGCUGUUGUUGGCUGCGAUUAGAAAACAAUAGCAAGGUGGUUAUGAAUCGUACUCUGGAUGCAACUCUUAUUUUCUCUUUAAAUAAAAAUAAAUGUGUAGAGCUAACAUGAAAAAAGGUACUUUGUUCAAAUACAGCUACAUUUUUUAAAUAAUAAACUGAACAGAUACCAUUUUUUAGAAUGUGUGGUACUAAAAUGUCGUGUUGUGUGGCAGUAUGAAUGUCAACGCUGUCGCCCUUCCAAGGGUAUUAAAGAGAAUAACUCAUGUCCAAAAACAGUGGUCAGUGUCCCUUCAAAGGCUUUGGUCACACUCAGAACUUCACUAUAACACAACAUUGCAGCACAACACACAUGGAGGAUACAAUAAACUCGCCCCACUAAUACCCUGGAUCUUUCAUGACUGGCAGUAAGAAACUUUCCGGCUCUUCUCAACUUGGUAUUUAAUGUUUUUUUAAAUAGCAGCAGUGCCCCACUUGUUAUCUCCCUGGGUCUUGAUCUGUUCUCAAAACAGAACGUCUGGAUGUCUGACUGAAGACGAAGGGCAAUUAUACGGCGUCCUGCUUAUUCUUUUGUGCUUCUUCCGGUCACGUCACUUGAAAUCCUCAAAGCACCUGUGAAGAAAGAGAUCUCUCUCCUCCUCGCAGUCCCCUCGCUUCAUUACAUUGGAAAUGGAGAACAACAGUUUUCUCACGCAAGAUUACAUCACAUUAAUGAGUUCUUUAAAUUGCCUAUCACAAUCUUCAACUUCUAGAUUCACGUGCACAGCGGCAGUUAAAUGGGGUUCCAGACAAACCGUGAGACCCAUCAAUUGCAUCAGUCUCUGUCUCAGCCUGCGACACCGCACAGAGGACCCACACUGCAGGGAUUUCUUCUUACUUACAACAGCAAACUACAUCACCAGUGGGGUUUUUCGAUCCACGGCUCUGCAACAGUCCAUGUUGAUAUGUCCUUGGGGGCAAGACACUCCACCCCGGCGCGUUCCUGCAGGCUGUGCCUCCAGUGUGUGAGCGUUAAUUAGCUCCGAUGGUCCGGUGACACCUCGCUUGGUGGACCCUUGUCAUCGCCGAGUGAAAGGGUGUGAAGUCCAUUUACCUUUUAGUGCCCCGCCUGCUGGGACGAAGGCCAAAUGGGUCAGGAAAACAAAUAUUGUGUGUCUGAAUUUCGUGCUGUGUAGAAGAAAGUAAGCCAGGUUUGCAACUCAUUAAAAUUUGGACCCUCCAGAUACAGCUUGGAAUAACAGUUUUCGCCAGACCUUUUCACCUCCACGUGGGAAGGUAAUUUAGAGCAUUGUGAACCUUUUUUAAAAACAUUUCCACUCCCCAAAAAUGGUGUACUUGCAAAAAUUACUUUAAACACUCAACAGUUACAAAGCACAAUUAUCAAUGAAGUGCAGUUAUUUCCAAUGUGGUCCGGACCCCACGAAGCCGAGAGAAGCUGCAGAGUUGAUGCGUCUCAUCCUGCAGAUUUAAAUUCCUUCAUUUGGCUAUUUCGAGAAACUCACCGGUUAAAAGAGAUCUGAGUCUUUUUUUAAAUAAUAUUGCAACAAAGGUACUCUGGCACAAUAUCUAGGACAUUGUGAUUAUGACUUGCUUUCACCUCACACCAGAGCAACUUUUCCUCCAACUCGUUUAAAGCAGAUAAUUCUCAAGUGUACUUAUUUUAUAUAUAGCUGUAGCUUUCUCUUUUGUUUAGAUCUUACUAGAACGUACCACACUGAACCGUCAGGGUUGGGGGUAAACAAAACUUUAUGGCCAAAAUACUUUUCAUUUGAAUAAUGCAUCUGCCCAGCUGCAUAAUUACCCACAUCACAGGCUAAAGGUAAUGAUUUUGCAAAAAACGAUUAAAAAAACACAAACUAUCUUGCAUCGCUCUUUCGGAUGUAAUGUACGGUGCAAAUCCAUUUGGGGGGAGGGGGGGAGGGCUCAGCAUUCGGAGCACAGCAGGAAAUUGCAGUCACUUUGGUACAUGGUCGUCGUGGCGACGCAGAAAGAUUCCUUACUGGCUCCGCGCUGCUAUCGGGCUCUCAACACAAAUAACCGUAUCCUGAAAGCCGAUGAAACAGAGGUGGCGGUUGGCAAGCUCCCGUGGUCAAUGGCAGAUGCGGGAGGAUGAGGUAUGUCGUGACUGAUUGGCUCUGAAGCGAUGUUCAUUCAUGUAAAGUGUGCACACAGCCGUUCCACUUUUUCAAGCACAGGUGGCUCUUUUUUUCCUGGCAAAGCCAUUUUCUUCAGAGCAUUGAUGACAAACAUCAAUGAAUUUGACAGGAAAAGAAAUUCCCAGCAACUGUUCACGCCAGUCAUGAUCUCAUCCCUCGGAGGCACCUCGGUUAUUUCUUAAAUGUCACCCUCAGAGCCGAGGCUGCUCUGCAGGUUCUCUCAAAUUUCUCUUUCAGAAUAAAUUCUAGGCUGCAUUCAAAUGAAGGGAUACAGCUGCUCUCCCUGCUGAUGUACUGACUGAGGGCUCGGCUACGAUAAUGAAGUUGCUCCAUUUGCAUCGUUGAACAUUCAACAUUUAGGAGUUUAGUUUGUGAUUUCAUGGGUAAGUGUAGCCCAUGUGAAAAACAUGUAUACAUCCAGUGUUUGACUCAAUAAAUACAUAAACAGUUUAUUAAAAGUUGAGGUUAAACUACAUAUUUCAUUUGUGUGGUAAAAUGUAAUGUUCAUGGGUAAUAAUGUUAAAGGUGCAUCUGUUUUUUAUGUUUCCUUUCUGAUAGAAGCUUGAUGGGUUUUU